Molecule: long non-coding RNA, 2399 nt
Organism: Corvus hawaiiensis (hawaiian crow)
Lineage: Eukaryota; Metazoa; Chordata; Aves; Passeriformes; Corvidae
Exons: 6
Source: RefSeq, a predicted model, not a curated record
UGCUUUUCCCCGCACAGCUGCUCUGGAGUCGUGGAGAAAAGCCGAGCCCGGCGUGUGUGCCCCUUCCACGAUCCCCGUUCCAACAUCGCGCGCACUCCCUGCUCUGUGUGACACAUCUCCUAAGCUUGUUGCAAUGCCCAGAUGCAGAGGUGUCUGCAAUCAUAGAGGUCACCCCUUGACUGCAGCACACUGUCAUUGUCUUUGAGGAUUGUGUGGUCUCAUGGACUAGACAGCUGGGAAGCGCACCACAAUAAGCUGACUAACUCCUUCUGCCACCUGGGAUCUUGGUGCAGAAGACAGGUUAUAAAACACUGAGUUACAAACCUUGCUGUGGAGGAGUGGGAAAUGGAAGCUAAUUGCAUUUACAUGCAGAAGCACAAAGGAAGGAAGAGGCAUCAGACUCCAUGUUAAAUGGGGAGGCCUGGAAAUAAGUCUCUGUCUGUGGAACAAGCCUGCAUCUUAAGAAAUGAAGAUAAGGUGCUAUGCAGAGCAGGCUUAUUAAAUGUUGAAGCAAUACUUGCAGUAAUAUAAUGUACCAGCCAUUCUUUCCAGGAAAUUAGUCUGCCAGCUGGAGCAGCCGCUGGAUCCACAGCUCCCCACCUGAGGACAAAGUGGGACUGCUGGAGAAAAUCAUUGGAUUCUCAGCAUUUUCACUGGCAGUUCUUGGACCAGCUGGAUGGUUCCUGUGCCACCUUUCAAGCUAUAAAAAGAAAUAGAAAAAAAAUCCCUUUAAAAUUAAGAUCUGAAGGCUGCAAUAAACUAUAAUACUCCCAACUUGGACCCUCUUGAAAGUCCCAGUUCACACUCUAUCACCCAUCCCAUGGGCCAGGUCCCAGAAAGCUUUUGCAGAUACUGUAGAAUUGGACCCAGAGAUACAAUGGUGUAACAAUACCAAAUGGUGUCAGGCCUAGUCCGCCAUCACCUGCUGCAUUGGAGCAGCCUGAAUCUGUCAUCAGGUACUGCAAGAAAUGGAAGAUUGAUGAGGAGGACUGUAAACACGCUCAAGUGACUUGCAGUUUGGCUGUUGAAAAACACAUGUAUCAUACUAAUUGUUGUUUGACCUUGUGUUUUAGACAAGUAGAGCAUCUGUGUCUAGGAAACAUAGGCCCAUGGUAGCCUUAGAGGCACCCUAUCUAACAUGCUUGAGAAUCCUGCCCUCCUGUGGGCAAGAUUAAAGCACAGUGGUAAAUUGUACUUGUGUGAAUCCUUGAAAUAGGAAAAAAUAGCAGGUUUGCUGAUCCUCCACCAUGGGCCAAGCUUUGCAGUGCCUAUGUUCCCACUUGUGUGCCUCUUCUGUCUGCUGCUUUGGUGAUCCCUGGUUGGUGAGGUAACAAAAAUGAGUUUACUCUUUGUGUUUCAUCCAUGGUUUUGUCAUUGUUCCUGUGUCCUGUCUGCUCCAUCUCAUACAGGUACCAUCAAAACUUUGAAGCAAAUAAAUGGGAAAAAAAAUACAGAAAAAAAAAAAUUAUAGCCAUCUCAGACUAAAACUCUGAGAAUUUAAGACAAUUUUCUUGAGAGUGUCUCUUUAAUCUUUACAUGUGUUCUUUUGGUGUGUUCCCCCACCCAAUUUACUCUUCCAUCAGAAUAAAUGCUUUUCUGCAGGUCAUGAUUGUAAGAUACUUCAAUUUAUUUUCAAUUUUUAGAUUAAGAUCUUUGACCUUUGAGAGAUUCUUGCAUGAUUGCUAUUUGCAAUUAAUAUGAUAAAAACUUUGAAGUCUAGACUAAUUUUGAGAAAAGUACUAUAAAUAAUAUUUUUAUGCCACAUAACAUGUGAUAAAGGAAUGUCUUCUAAUGAUUUCAUGUCUGUCUUGCAGAAAAACCCAGAAUAUGAAGCUUUUGUGAUGUUAAAGGAUCAGUUGUGAUGCUUAAGUAUUAGCAGAAUAUAAUUUAUAAUUCCAUUAAGUCAUUUGUAAUAUCUAAUAUCAAACAGUUUCUGAAAGUAGGGCUGUGAAUGUGUGAAAGUAUAUAAUCUUGCUGUACGUCUCAAGUAUGAUUUACAAAUAAAUUGUCAUGAGUUCCCUUCAGCCUUGGAACCAUGACUGAAGUUUUCAGAGUGAGAGUGGAGACAUUCAUGCUGAGUGUUUAAAGAAACUCAUACUUCUUUAUUUUUUUCCAAGAAAUGAUAGCUUUGUCCCUUAGUUGAAGAGUCUGAUGUGAAAGCCCAGUUGUGUAUGUGGAAAGUUUCCCACAGAUUUGGAUGAGUGUUGGAUAUGUGCCUGCAGUCCUGGUAUCCAGAGAAAAAACAAUGCCAGUAACUGAAAGGCACUUGGACAAGCAAUCUGAAGCUUUGCUCCUGCGCACUGUGAGUGCAUCCUUUGGAAUCAUAAGGCUAUUUUGCAGAAUUUGUUGUAAAAAUCAGGUUUGAACAUUUCAGUGUAUCUGCUUGUCCUGUAUCUGAU